RNAcentral lists this ribosomal RNA (282 nucleotides) under uncultured bacterium. RNAcentral describes it as "partial 16S ribosomal RNA". It matches the Rfam family "Bacterial small subunit ribosomal RNA", at positions 32 to 297 of the family's 1533-position model. The record is from RNAcentral.
AAUCAACGCUGGCGGCGUGCCUAACACAUGCAAGUCGAACGCGAGAGGGGCUUCGGCCCCGAUUGAGUGGCGAACGGGUGAGUAACGCGUGGGUGACCUACCUUCGAGUGGGGAGUAACGUCCCGAAGGGGCGCUAAUACCGCAUAACAUCCUGCUUUUGUAAUGGGUGGAGAUCAAAGACCGGGGAUCGCAAGACCUGGCGCUUGAUGAGGGGCCCGCGUCUGAUUAGCUAGUUGGNGAGGUAACGGCCCACCAAGGCAACGAUCAGUAUCCGGCCUGAGA